Phragmites australis (common reed) is the source of this 1790-nucleotide long non-coding RNA. RefSeq lists it as uncharacterized. The transcript is spliced from 2 exons. NCBI's taxonomy places the organism in Eukaryota, Viridiplantae, Streptophyta, Magnoliopsida, Poales, Poaceae. The record is from RefSeq and is a predicted model, not a curated record.
GUUGAUGUUAACUUUAUGAAAGGAACUACCACUACAAUCUAUUUUAGGUGACCAAUAUUUCCCUUCGCAGAAUUCAAGCAUGACUUCUGUCCCCCCUUACUUUUGUGUAAAAAAAAUUGUACACAAACCUGUUGGAGUAUAACUGUAGCCUUGUAGGCUACUGUUUAAUCUUCCAUGGAUUAUAGGAGGGGCAGUACUCGAUUUAGGUAUAGUUGUUAGUUAUGACUAGUUUAUCUUAAAUGCAUCGCAAAGGUCAUGUUUACAAUUACUAAUGCUACAGAUGAUGCUCAGAACAUUGAAAAACAUUUGACUUUAGUUCAUUACAUGCUAAAUCAAUACUUAACUUGUAAGUAGGAUUUAGCCCGUGGGUAUGCCUUAUGUUUUGAGUUGACUUUUAUUAUUCAGGAUCAGGCCCUGAAAAAACCAUGGUGCAGCAGUCUAAUUUUCUUGGCAGUCAACCUAAUUUUGGUAGGUACCAGGCAGCAGAAAGAAAUUCUUUCUCAGGUGAUGUCAUCAUCACAUUUGAUCCAUGUCAAGCACAGCAUUGUUAUAAUUAAUUGGCUGGGUAGUCCAGACGAUAUCAUGACUAACCUUGAAAUUGAUGGUCGGGAUUUAUUUCCUACAUAAUUUCUGUUCUCUUUUUAGUUAAUGUUUAGAAUUUUCUUCCCACACAAUUUUCUUUUUUAACUUUAAAGCAAUGAACAGGAACGUUUGAUGAUUAUCAAACGCCAUCCUGUCAAUCAGACAGCUAUUAAAUACAAUCUAUAGUUGUCUCACAACCAACCCAGAAUAAACAUGGCACCUCUAACCUCACCAAUUAUUUUUAUGAUCUAGUAUGUUUGCAUUUGUAUAAUUUUCGAGUAUGUUCUUGCCAUGAAGCAACUUUUGGGCUAAUUAAAAAUGAAAAUUCUAUCGAUGACUCUCAAAUGAGGGGGAAAAAGUGCUAGACAUCACAAUCUCUCUGAAGAAACGCAUAUAAGAUUCUUAAUUUUUUUGUUCCUCUGAAGCUACCUCAAGCUUGCAAAGAUUUCUGAAUUUUGGCAUCGGCCUUUAUAGGAAGAAUUGCGAUAUGCGACAAGCCAGCUGCUCAUCAUGUUUUCCUCUCAGUCAGCUGUCAUGCCAUGAAUAGAGCCCUUGUCGUACAGUCAUCUUAUUUAAUCCUUUAUAUGCAAGCGGGUCCAUUGGUUGGUGCCUCUCAGUGACUAAUGGGAUGCUGUUUGGAUGUUUCGAGGUGAUUUGAUCGAUUGCAAGCGGGCCUGUUGGUUGGUGCCUCCAGAUGACUAAGGAGGGGCUACAUAUUAAAACACUAAUUUUGUUUGGUUUAAAGCUGUUGUCAGCUUCCUGAGUCUGCAGGAACCAUGCUCUGGAUCCUUGCUCUGAAACAUUGUGAUGCUUUCAAGCGCAUAAAUUGCCAGGGUAGCACAGGGCUCAUUGUUUUCGAAUCGCUUCAUCAUGCAUAUCUCUUUUUGGAGUUUCAUCACACUUAUCUCUUUAUUGAGUUUCACUUUGGUAAUGCUGGUUCUUUUUUUCCUGUCAUGUUUAACAGGGAACAUACCAGGGGGCCACACCUCAUGGGGCAACUUACCGCCGUCGCUGCAACCUCCUCUUGAAGGCAGUUGAGGGAAUGUGCAUGGAAAUUUCACUUGCAAAGAAUGGUUGCAUCCUAUGUACAAAUGUGGUUCUUCUGUCAUGAGAUGGUUGUCUUUCUAUACCGAAUGCAAGUAGCACUCCUAUUGAGAAGUGAAUCUAGUUCAUUUGAAAUGCUGCUAUUUGACAGGAAGCUUUCCUUU